Molecule: ribosomal RNA, 478 nt
Filed under: uncultured bacterium
Lineage: Bacteria
Description: partial 16S ribosomal RNA
Rfam family: Bacterial small subunit ribosomal RNA
Source: RNAcentral
GAUGAACGCUAGCGGCAGGCCUAACACAUGCAAGUCGAGGGAGAAGCCCUUUCGGGGGCAGAAACCGGCGCACGGGUGCGUAACGCGUAUGCAACCUACCUUUCACAGGGGGAUAGCCCGAAGAAAUUUGGAUUAAUACCCCAUAAUAUUAUUGGAUGGCAUCAUUUGAUAAUUAAAACUGCGGUGGUGAAAGAUGGGCAUGCGUCUUAUUAGCUAGUUGGAGUGGUAACGGCACCCCAAGGCUACGAUAGGUAGGGGUCCUGAGAGGGAGAUCCCCCACACUGGUACUGAGACAGGGACCAGACUCCUACGGGAGGCAGCAGUGAGGAAUAUUGGUCAAUGGUCGGAAGACUGAACCAGCCAUGCCGCGUGCAGGAAGAAUGCCUUAUGGGUGGUAAACUGCUUUUAUAUGGGAAGAAUAAGGCGUACGUGUACGUUGAUGACGGUACCAUAUGAAUAAGCAUCGGCUAACUCCGUG